RNAcentral lists this ribosomal RNA (305 nucleotides) under uncultured bacterium. RNAcentral's name for it is "bacterial SSU rRNA". It matches the Rfam family "Bacterial small subunit ribosomal RNA", at positions 338 to 641 of the family's 1533-position model. The record is from RNAcentral.
CCUACGGGACGCAGCAGUGAGGAAUAUUGGUCAAUGGCCGAGAGGCUGAACCAGCCAAGUCGCGUGAGGGAAGAAUGUCCUAAGGAUUGUAAACCUCUUUUGUCGGGGAGCAAAAGACGCCACGCGUGGCGUUCCGAGAGUACCCGAAGAAAAAGCAUCGGCUAACUCCGUGCCAGCAGCCGCGGUAAUACGGAGGAUGCGAGCGUUAUCCGGAUUUAUUGGGUUUAAAGGGUGCGCAGGCGGAAGAUCAAGUCAGCGGUAAAAUUGAGAGGCUCAACCUCUUCGAGCCGUUGAAACUGGUUUUC